AUUGAACGCUGGCGGCAUGCCUUACACAUGCAAGUCGAACGGCAGCACGGGAGCAAUCCUGGUGGCGAGUGGCGAACGGGUGAGUAAUAUAUCGGAACGUGCCCGGUCGUGGGGAUAACGUAGCGAAAGCUACGCUAAUACCGCAUACGAUCUACGGAUGAAAGCGGGGGAUCGCAAGACCUCGCGCGAUUGGAGCGGCCGAUAUCAGAUUAGGUAGUUGGUGAGGUAAAGGCUCACCAAGCCGACGAUCUGUAGCUGGUCUGAGAGGACGACCAGCCACACUGGGACUGAGACACGGCCCAGACUCCUACGGGAGGCAGCAGUGGGGAAUUUUGGACAAUGGACGCAAGUCUGAUCCAGCAAUGCCGCGUGCAGGAUGAAGGCCU
This 386-nucleotide ribosomal RNA is filed under the name uncultured bacterium. RNAcentral's name for it is "bacterial SSU rRNA". It matches the Rfam family "Bacterial small subunit ribosomal RNA", at positions 30 to 417 of the family's 1533-position model. The record is from RNAcentral.